This 231-nucleotide long non-coding RNA is filed under the name Brassica napus (rape). RNAcentral describes it as "long non-coding RNA (BNAP_LNC025904)". The record is from RNAcentral. Lineage: Eukaryota; Viridiplantae; Streptophyta; Magnoliopsida; Brassicales; Brassicaceae.
CUCCAACUUAAACUCUAAAACCCUAAAACUCCAAAUAAAUUUUUUUUAACUAAAGAAAUACAUAUUAUAUAAAACAACAUUUGUUACACAUACAUUAAGAUGGCAAAAAAAACAAUAUUUCUUUAAACAUACGAUAUUAUAGAGAAAUACAACAUUUGUUACAUAUAUUACAUCACUCGAAAUUUUUCGUUCUCAUCAAUAUUACAUCACUCUAAAUCGUUUUCGUUCUCA